Molecule: long non-coding RNA, 1336 nt
Filed under: Piliocolobus tephrosceles (Ugandan red Colobus)
Lineage: Eukaryota; Metazoa; Chordata; Mammalia; Primates; Cercopithecidae
Description: lncRNA (ENSPTEG00000001700.1)
Source: RNAcentral
AUGAACAAGGAGUCAGGUGUAACUAAUAAAAACACAAAUAUAGUUUUAAACGAAGUAAAUAAAAAAAAAUCACCAGAUACCAUAAUGUCGGAUAAGCUACAAACGGAGGAAAAUAAAGAAAAGGAAUUAAACGUAAGCGAAGAUGAUUAUAUGAAUAUAGAUAGAAGACAGGUAAAAAAAUUUAGUGAACCUAAUAUUAAAAUGAAUAUUAAUGAUAUUAAUAAUAUUAAUAAUAUUAAUAAUAUUAAUAUUAAUAAUAAUAAUAAUAAUAUUAGUAGUAGGCUAAGUUUACAAAAUUUAAACGUAACAGAAAUUGAAACAAAUACAACAUCUGAUUAUGAGUCACUAAAGUAUAAAUACAAAUAUCAAAUGAAAAUGGAUGAAAAUGAGUUAGAAGAAUUUAAACACAUUUUAAAAAAUGAAUUUAAAGAAUUAAAUAGGAUUAGAAAAGAAAGGGGAAGCUUAAAGGAAAGCUCUGCUGACUUAAUACGUUUAAGAAGUAUGGAUGAAAAAAAACAAAUGAUUAAUAUUAAUAAAGAAGAUAUAAUAUCACAAGAUGUUAAUAACAAAAAAGAUACAGUAAUAAAUAAUGUGGAUAUGAACGGUUCCAAAAUAAACCAAACCAAUAUAAACACUAAAGAGCCCAAUGAGAAACUUUUGAAUGAACAAGAAGAUAGCAAGAUGUGUAGUGAAAGAUUAGCUGAAAAAUUAACUUUUGGAACUGAUGUGGGUGUAUUGAAGAAGCUACAAGAUGACUGGUGGGCAUCAGGCGUCAAUUUAUCUGACUUCUUAAAUUAUAUAGAGUCCAACAAAUAUGUGAAUAUAUCUCAGUUAUCAUUAAAUUUUAAAAAAACACCAGAGGAUAUAAAAGAAAAGUUGGAACAACUGGAAGAACAUGAUUUGAUAAAUGGCGUUUUAGAUGAAAAUGGAAAUUAUAUUUAUUUAUCGCAAGAGGAAAUUAAUAAAUUGUGUUAUGCAAUACAGGAAAAUACAAAUAUUAAUACACAUGAAGACUUUUUAAAUAUGUGCAAUACAGUUGUGUCACUUAAUGUGAAUGAUGAUCAGGUUAUUCAUUUUUUUUCAAAUGAAUUUAAAGCUCAUUUUAGGCAAGCUCAUUUUAAGUAUAUUUUUAUUUUAUCAUGCUUAUGAAAUAUAUAAAUUAUUACACAUUUCUGUUUACAGAACGUAAAAAAAUUAAAAAACAAGUAAAGUUCGAAUUAAAUUAACAAUGGGGAAUUUCUAUUUUUUUUUUUUUUUUUUUUUUUUAUAUUCCGCCUGAACAUUCAGGUAAAUAGAGCAAAAAAAAAAUAAACAUACAUACAUAUACUUACCUACA